This 201-nucleotide ribosomal RNA is filed under the name uncultured bacterium. Its description in RNAcentral is "partial 16S ribosomal RNA". It matches the Rfam family "Bacterial small subunit ribosomal RNA", at positions 524 to 724 of the family's 1533-position model. The record is from RNAcentral.
UACGGAGGGAGCUAGCGUUGUUCGGAAUUACUGGGCGUAAAGCGUGCGCAGGCGGUUUUGUAAGCCAGAUGUGAAAUCCCCGGGCUUAACCUGGGAAUGGCAUUUGGGACUGCAAGGCUCGAGUGCGGCAGAGGAGACUGGAAUUCCUGGUGUAGCAGUGAAAUGCGUAGAUAUCAGGAGGAACACCUAUGGCGAAAGCAG